This 1081-nucleotide long non-coding RNA is filed under the name Marmota monax (woodchuck). The record is from RNAcentral. Lineage: Eukaryota; Metazoa; Chordata; Mammalia; Rodentia; Sciuridae.
GAUACUAUGCCAAAAAAUUUUUGUAAAUGGGAAUUAUAUUUGUCUCCUUAGAAGUGGCAUUAUGGAAUAAUAAUAGGAGUGAAACAUUUGGUUUCAAAAGUGUUUAACAUUAAUUAUUAUUUUUUUAGUGGUAGCAAAAUCUCUGAAACUAUUUUAAUAGUCAACAAAUAGAGGAAAUCAGCAUCAAGUGUGAUAUAUUUGCACCAUAUAAUACCACACUCAUUUCUAAUUUGAAAUAAUUUUUAGUGAUACAGAUAGUUGCAACAUGUUGCUAUGUAAUUAAAAAGCAGGCCUCAAAAUAGUUCCAAUAAGGGGCUGGGGAUGUGGCUCAAGCGGUAGCACACUCGCCUGGCAUUCGUGCUGCCUGGGUUCGGUCCUCAGCACCACAUACAAAAAAAAAGAUGUUGUGUCCACCAAAAACUAAAAAAUAAAUAUUAAAAUUCUCUCUCUCUCUCCCUCUCUCUAUCUCACUCUAUCUUUUAAAAAAAUAGCUCCAAUAACAUGUAUUCUCUGUUUUCUUUCUGUCUGAAAAUAUUACAUCUGUAUCAAUAUAAUCACACAAAAAAGACAUGUAAACAUCUGCCCAAGUAAAUAAUAACUAUAGUUAUCCUCAGGUGGUGAAAUGAUUAAAGUUUUGCCCAUUCUAUUUUAUACAGGAAAAAAAGGCUUUUUAAAAAUGUAAGCUAAAGGUUAAAGAGGAGACAAUUGAUAUUUAAUGAGUGUCUUCUAUAUGAUAUGACAAGUAUACCUGAUUUUAAUCUUUAAGAUAUGCUAUUUAAAAAAGCUCUAUUUUACAGAUGAAGAUACUACAGUUUCUUAGCUGGUAAAUAGUUCAGCAGAAUUGAGUCUUUUGUGCCCAUUUGAAUAGAAAGCUUUCCCCUUAUACCAUGUUGCUUCAAGAAUUUACAUGUGGGGCUAGGGAUAUAACUUAGUUGGUAGAGUGCUUGCCUAGCGAUCACAAGGCCCUGGGUUCAAUCUCCAGUACCACCAAAUAAAGAAAGAAUUUACAUGUGUCAAGAUGCUGAUAAACAAAUUUGAAUACUGGAUAAAUGCUGUGUAAUUGAAACAUGAAUCGUGUGUA